Molecule: long non-coding RNA, 513 nt
Organism: Phyllopteryx taeniolatus (common seadragon)
Lineage: Eukaryota; Metazoa; Chordata; Actinopteri; Syngnathiformes; Syngnathidae
Exons: 3
Source: RefSeq, a predicted model, not a curated record
ACAUUUGUUGGAUGGAGUUUUGCUGUUGGAUUUUUGCUUGCUCUCACCCUGUUACACUGACUUCAUGGAUCAUUCCAAGAAGUUUUUCCCAGUCUGGAAUAAUUUUGAUGCCAAAUAAGGGCAAUCUUUUUCUCCUUCGGGUGACGUGUCGGCUCUGCGCCACAGAGCUAUCCUACGUCAAUAAGAGAACUUCAAUGGCUGAGGCAUUAUAGAGCUCGGAUGGCAAUGAAGAAUUGGCAGAUACUCAUGUGAGUACCCCAGCCUUGCAGUUCGUAACAAGCAAGCAGUGGAUGAGGCUGUGGUCAACAUGAUCAAAGACUGCCAACCACUCACCAUUGUUGAAAAUGAGGGAUUCAGGGAAAGCAUCAACUCGCACUUAAAUAUUUAUGCUCACCAUCUUCAUCUGUACCCUGUGAAAUAGUUUUUUCUAAAGGCAGGGGAACUGGUGUCUAAGGAGAAAUCCCCUUGGAGCAAAGACACUUUAAAAAAUAAAUAAAUAAAUUUGUUCUCAAU